UUCCAAAGUUCUGAGUUCAGUUCAGGGCAGCUUCCCUGUUCUGUUAAUUAAACUUUGGGACGUUGAAACUGGCUAGAGGAGAUGAGUGGAUAGAAGUAUUACUUUAUUUGUUUACCUCCCAGCCUACAGCA
RNAcentral lists this small nucleolar RNA (131 nucleotides) under Castor canadensis (American beaver). Lineage: Eukaryota; Metazoa; Chordata; Mammalia; Rodentia; Castoridae. The record is from RNAcentral.